GGAAGGAUCAUUACUAAACCCAAUGAUAACAACAACCAUGUUGAAACGUGUGUGCGUGUUCGGUGACGAGAGCGAGCGGGCGGCCGCGGUGCGUGCGGGUGUGAGAUAGGUGGCGCGGUCACGCACGUGGCUGCGCGCCCAACCACCCCCUCGCGCUGCGCCGCUGCUUGUGCGUUUGCCGAGCACCACAAAUUAUAACCAUAUACCAUCUGAUGUGCCAAUGGACAGUUAUUUUUAUGGAUAAUAUAAAAGCAUAACUUUUAACAAUGGAUCUCUUGGCUCUUUGCAACGAUGAAGAACGCAGCUAACUGCGAAAAGUCAUGUGACAUGCAUUUUUUGCGAGUCAUGUAAUAUUUGAACGCACCUUGCGCCCGUGGGCUCACGUCCACGGGCAUACUUGUUUGAGUAUCGCAAACCUUCUCUCCCUCGGUGUGCGGCCACUUGGCGGCACCGCGGGGGCAUGUGAGCACUCUGCGCCGUACACGUGAUGUACGCGCAGUCGCUUGAAAGGCAGCGCGCAGCGUGCGCACACGGCAGCGCACCGGACUUGUGGGAUAAUCCACACGGCGGCCUCUCGGGGCCAGCCGCGCAAGGCCGGUGCCUGGGUGCGCAUGACGGCGACCGAUGGUGGCGAGGCAGCGCGGCGUUUACGCAGCGCGGUCUAUGCCACACGGGACGCGUGUGUUUUAACCGCACACCGUCCACUACCAUCGAUCUCAAAUCAAGUAGGAUAACCCGCUGAACUUAAGCAUAUCAGUAAGCGGAGGAAAAGAACUAACCAGGAUUCCCCUAGUAACGGCGAGUGAAGCGGGAAAUGCUCAAUGGAAAAUCUGGGCGUCGUCCGGCGCCCCGAGUUGUCAUUGAAAGAGCCGCGCCCCAGGGCGGCGUCCGCGGCCAAGUCCCCUGGAACGGGGCAUCAGAGAGGGUGAUAAUCCCGUCCGGCCGCCGACGCCAUCCGACAUGGCGCGUGCUCGACGAGUCGAGUUGUUUGGGAAUGCAGCUCAAAAUGGGUGGUACAUGCCAUCUAAAGCUAAAUAACGGCAAGAGACCGAUAGCGAACAAGUACCGUGAGGGAAAGAUGAAAAGCACUUUGAAAAGAGAGUGAAAAGUACGUGAAAUUGUUAAAAGGGAAACGAUUCGGGCCAGUGAUGCCCGUCGGGCGUCCCAGCGAUGGGAGUGCGCACGGCGGGUGCGUCAGGGGCCGUUCGGGCGGGCAGACAAGGCGCGCGGCAAGGUGGCUCUCGGCAAUUGCCGGGACGCUUUAUAGGCCGCGAUGUCCGGUGCGCACCUGGACGGCUGACACUGUGGAUGGGGCGUGCGAUGCGGGGCCGGUCCUCGUCGACCGGCACGGGUUGUGCGUCGCACCUCGCACACAUUGACGAAAUGGCCUCAAACGACCCGUCUUGAAACACGGACCAAGGAGUCUAACAACUAUGCGAGUUAUCGAGUGGCAAACUCGAGGGCGCAAAGAAAUUAAUGGUGCACCGUUCGCGGUCACUUGCGUGGGAUCACCGCCCCCGGGCGGUGUGCACCAUGAACCUGUGCUUGCGCAGGCAAGCAUGGGCGGAGCAUAGCUGUUGGGACCCGAAAGAUGGUGAACUAUGCCUGAAUAGGGCAAAGCCAGAGGAAACUCUGGUGGAGGCUCGUAGCGAUUCUGACGUGCAAAUCGAUCGUCAAAUUUGGGUAUAGGGGCGAAAGACUAAUCGAACCAUCUAGUAGCUGGUUCCUC
Molecule: unclassified non-coding RNA, 1729 nt
Filed under: uncultured fungus
Lineage: Eukaryota; Fungi
Description: sequence contains 18S rRNA gene, ITS1, 5.8S rRNA gene, ITS2, 28S rRNA gene
Rfam family: Eukaryotic large subunit ribosomal RNA (bases 712-1729)
Source: RNAcentral